Molecule: long non-coding RNA, 3721 nt
Filed under: Carica papaya (papaya)
Lineage: Eukaryota; Viridiplantae; Streptophyta; Magnoliopsida; Brassicales; Caricaceae
Description: long non-coding RNA (CPAP_LNC011967)
Source: RNAcentral
AAAGAUAUUUAUAAUAAAUACACGUUAAAACUGAAAUUUUGGUAUUUAUUAUUUUAUAUAAAACUAUUAGUUUAUAAUUAUAUAUCAUAUUACCAUUUUUUGGUCUCUCCUCUAUUUUAUGUUUAUAUAUUUAACAUCAACUUACACGUCUCUCUCUAUUUAACAAUUGAAACACAUAUUUUCUCUAAGAAAAUAAAUAAAUCACUAUAAAACUGACAGUAAAAAAACUUGGAGAAUAUUUAACAUAUAUCCUGAAGAGUUUUAUGGAGAAAAAAAACUCUUGUAGUUUCUUUAUUUAAGGGCAUGUGACCUUAUGGGUGAUGUACUCUCAAAUUAUCCUUGUAAAAAAAAGUUUUGUCAAUCUUGUCCAUUGAUAUAGGCAUACCGCCAAACCACGUUAAAUCUUAUAUUGUUUUCUUUCUACUUUUGUUUUAUGGUGAUUGUGCAUAAUUUAGCGAUUAAUUUCCUCAGUAAUUAGUAUCAGAGCCCGAGUUUUAACAGAAAGUAAUAUCAGAGGAAAGGAAAGAACCAUAUGAGAUUUAUUCGAUUGCCACCUGACGGAGAAACAAGAAGUGGUGUUGUGGCAACGACAAAUAAAAAAUAAAUCAAUUGUGCAGUGAGGGGACAACUAAAUCUACGUGAAGUGAAGUGGAUUGCAACAAAGGAAGUAGUGCAAAUGGUGCAUGGUGCGCCGUAAUAAAAGAAGGUUACAUUUGUGCGCGAUACAACCAAAAAGCUUUGUGCAUGGUGAAAGAAAAAGAUCAACGCAUGACGACUAAAUCUAGGCAUUGGUGGCAGAACCGAUUAAAGAAGUCAAAUCAUGCAGCAAUUUUUCAUACUUGCGCAUGACGCGACUUCGACUAGAUCUGCAACAUUUUCUAUUUGUUUCUUUGAGUUCAGGUGCUCCUUUUGGUGAUUUUCGAUGGCAGCAAGUGGAUGGCACGUGAUAGAACUGGUGGAAGUGCAUGUGAUGGUGCGUGGUCGUCAUUGGUGGUGCGUGGAAGCGUGGGUGUUACUCCAAUGGUAGUGCGUAGUGGUUUUUUAUGCAAUAGUGCUUCCUUGUGAGUAAUUUUUUGUUUAUGACAAUAGGAGUUCUCUCUUCUUUUUUGUGCAUAGUCUAAAGAUUUAAGAUAACAUUCAAAAAGUAUGAGAUUGAGAAGUUUGAUGGUGGUACGAGUUUUAAUAUGUGAAAUAUUAGAAUGAAAUCGUCCCUAGUUUUACAAAGUUUGUGAAGAGCAAUUGAAGAAAAAUUUCCUAAGGUAUGAGAAAGUCUAAUAAGGCAUACCUGCAAGAGAGAGCUUUAGGUACGAUUUUCAUGAGUGUGACUAAUAAUAUUCUAUAGGAAUUUGCUGUAGAAGUCUUAUCUUCAGCUGCGUGGAAGGAAUUAAAAGAGUUAUACUUUAUAAAAUCGCUAAUGAACCAUCUUUAUUUGAAGAAAAUGUUAUACAAUCCGAAAAUGAGUGAAUGUACAUCCAUUAAACAACAUUUUAAUGAAUUUAAUUAUAUUAUUAUGGACCCAAAUAACAUAGAUAUCAAGAUUGAUAAUGAGCAUCAGACAUUAAUUGUACUGUGUUCAUUUGUCAUCCUUUUAUAAGACUUCUGUUGAUACUCUACUGUAUAGAAAGAUUAGUAUUUCACUGUAUGAUGUUAGUAAUGCACUAAAAUUAAAUAAGUUAGAAAAAAAACUUUCCAGAAUAUAUAACAGAAGUGGAGAGUUUGGUAAGUAGAAAAAGAGCACAACCAAAGGCUAGAUCAAAAUCGAGAGCUAAAAAGACAAAUUGUUUUGAAUAUGGAGAAUAGAGUCAUUUUAAGAUAGAUUGUCUUAAGCUGAAAAAAGAAAUAAGUAGGAGAGUUCUACUAACAUGGCCAACAUGAAUAAUUUUUUUUGACAACAAUAGCACUAUUACUAGGAAUGUUCUAUUUGUGAGUUCGGAUUAUAUAAAGAAUUCUUAAAUUUUUUAUUCUUGUGCUAUAUUCUACAUGUGUCCACAUAAGUAUUUAUUUGCUACCUAUAAACAGAUGAGUUGUAAUGUGUAUAUGGGAGAUGAUAGUCCAUCUAUUAUAGUUGGGAUUGGUACUAUCAGAUUAAAAAUGCUUGAUUGUGUUAUCAAAACUAUUAAGUAUUAGCAUGUUCCUCAAAUAAAGAAGAAUCUAAUUUUUUUUCUUAUACUAGAGUCUUAAUAUUAUAAAUUUUAUACAAAAAAUAAUGCCCUCAAAGUGUGUAAAACCUCUAUGGAACUUAUGAAAGACAGUUUGAAGUCUAGAUUGUAUGUUCUUCAAGGUAACACAUCUUUAGGGGAAGUUAUUGUGACAUUAGGGAAUAGUGAUCAAAAUUAGGCAAGAUUAUGGCAUAUAUAUUUGGGUCAUAUGAGUUAUAAGAGGUUAUUUAUUUUGAGCAGGUAGAGUUUGUUGAACAAGAAUAAAAAAUAAGCCAUGAGUUUCUGCGAAUGUUGUGUAUAUGGCAAGCAGACAAGGGAAAGUUUAAUAAAAAAACCAAUAUAUAAGACCAAAGGUAAAUUGAAUUAUAUGCAUUCUGACUUAUGGGGUCCAUACAUAGUUCUCUCUUAUAGUAGUGGCAAGUAUUUCAUGACACUAUUGAUAAUUACUCUUAGGAGGUUUGAGUGUAUUUUUUGAAAUUCAAAGAUGAUGCAUUUUCAACAUUUAUCAUAUGGAAGACUAUAAUUGAGAAGUAGAUUGAGAGGAAGAUUAGAUGUCUUAGGAUUAAUAAUGUGUUGGAAUUUUACAAUCAUGCAUUUGAUAAUUUCUACGGUACGAAAAAUAUAGUAAGACACUGCACUUAUGUUGGAACACCAUAACAUAAUAGUAUUGCAAAACGCAUGAAUAGCAUGCUUUGAAUUGAACAUAAAGCAUGUUGUCUUGUUCAGGUUUGGGAUAGGAAUUAUUUGUUGAGGCUAUAAACACUGGUUGUUACUUGGUUAAUGGAUCUUUAUCCAUAGUUAUUGAGUGCAAAAUUCCUUUUAAGAAAUAGUUUUGUUCACUUGUUGAUUACUCUCACUUGAGGGUAUUUAGUCGUCCUACUUAUGCUCAUAUGAGGGAUUAUAAGCUUGAGCCGAGAAAAAAUAAAUAUAUAUUUCUAGAGUAUGCAUCUUGAGUGAAAUGUUACAGAUUGUGGUGUAGUGAUCCGAGUCUCCAGCGUAAAUUAUCAGCAGAUAUGUGAUAUUUAAUGAGUUUAAUUCACUGAUAGUUAACAGAAGAAGUUAAUAGCAUAAUCAGAUUAUAGUCUCGGAGAACAAGUAGAGCUAUAAGUUUAAUCCAAUGAUCCAAGGAAUAAAGUGCAGGUUCUUCACGAAAAAGAUAAUUACGUACCUGAUCAACAACAACCAUAUAAUAUGUAACAGGCAAGUAGAGAAGAAAUAUUGAACCCCCACAAAAGUAUGAGAAUCUAGUUGCAUAUGCCUUGUCAGUUGUAGGAAUAGUUGAUUUGCAGGAACCAGGAAGUUCAAACACAGAUCAGGGGGUUAGUAUUGUGUGUGAAUGACUUGAUGAUAGAUAUCAUUUCGUUUGGAUCUCAGGUAGCAAGUUUAGGCUCGACCUAAACUUAGUUGGAGUGUGUGAUACUUAGUAGCGCCUCUGUGAUGGGCAUGUUGGCAGGACAGUGUGACGAGAUAGUCAGUUAUUUUGAUGAUAGAGAGAAUUCAAGUAAAUGUCAAGAUUUGUUGACGUGAUUUAAAUUUUAAAAAUAUCUUAUUUAUAUUCUAGG